UCAGAAGGAGAAGAAGGUCCAGCAGCUGGGAGGCCAGACGUCAGAGAGGCUGGAGUCGGUUGUCCUGGGCCUCCCUAAGACAGAGAGCAUCUCUGCAGCCACCCAGUGGGGGAAGGAGUAUGUGAGGGCGGAGGUCUUUGCCCAGAGCUCCUGCACAUGCUGGUACAAUGGAGCAUAUGGGAGUUGGAGUCUGGAUACCUGCAAAAUAUUCCAGCUCCACUCUGUGUGACCUCAGAUGAGGAACCCCAGCAGUCAGGCUCUGGAGACCUGUGCUACACUGCCGUGGAAUGCUGUAGGAUGUUGUGGGAUGCUGCCCAUGUCCCCCUUCAGACAGGACUGUGACUGCCAAGCAAGUGACCUACAUAAGCUGGAACCCAGCAACAACCAACGGUUCCAUCCAGAUCCAGGAGGUCAAACCUCAGAAGAGGAGCUCAUAGACUGAAAUCUGGUCAUUCAGGGCAAGGAGGGGAAGGAAGUACGCUCCAGGAAAUCUCCCUGAGCUGGAAGAAUGCAGCUGUUAGCUCCAUACCACUUAGGAAUAAAGGAUAAUAGCUACAAAAUGAAUGCAUUGACCUUAGAUGAGCAAAGCUGGCCCCAGUGAGCUAAAGACUAGUAAGAUUAGCCGGUUCUCUGGGAUAAGGGAGACUGUCAGGUUUGCAAGACAAGUUAAUGCUAUGUGGGUUAGAACUCAUGAGUCAGCUGGCUGAGCUGGAUCACUGGCCACCACAAGUGCAGUCGAGAGUAAAGAACUUGCGUAGAAUUGGUUUGGAAAAGGCAAGCAGGGAGAGUGUGUGGCCAGAAGUCUCACUGUGCAGUUACGUACGGACAUGGUCAGUGCCCAGUCCUGCUGCACCCGCUGGAAGAGUUCUGGGCUGAGCUCUGCAAGAGGGGCUUUUCCUUGAGCCAGCGGAGAGUCCAUGAACAGAAAGAGAGCCAUGUGAUGGCAGAAGCAUGCCGAGGUUGGUGCUUCUGGGAACUGUUGGUCAGAAACCCGACGCCAGGGUGCAGCCGGGUAGAUGAGGAAAGGACAGCAGUGGCAGCCCAUGGGCGAGGGACGUUGGAGACAUGCUGGACCAGGUAUGUGGAGAUGGGGGAGAGGGGCACAGAACAAAGACCAGAAGGGGUUUCCCUUGGUUCCUGUGAACUCGAUGGUAGCUACUUUAAAGAGCUGCCUGGGGUCAGAUCAUCAGCUGAUGGGCAUUUCCACCGGACAAGUUCCAGAGAAGGAGGGAAUGCCUUUUGCAGACAGGGUCUCUAACUGGGAAAAUGGACAUUUGGUCAACAGAGCAUUACACGUAAUCACCGUGAGCUAGCACCCGAAGCAUACCAAAGGUCUUCUGCAGAGUCAAACCUGUUCCAAAUGGAAUCCUUUUCUCCCUUGGAAAAUGGAAAAUAAGUUGAGUCCUCGCUUUAACAAAGCAGAGCAUAGGGGUGAAGGGGCAUUUUCUUCCAGGGAAGGAUCUGGUACCCAUCACCCAGUGAUGGAGGCAGUCAGCACUAGGACCAUGUGUUAAGGCGAGAAAGCGAGAAUGUCUUCAUUUGUACAAAGGAAGUUUCUGCUUGUCCUCCAAAGCAUAGUUAUUUUGUUAUUUUAUAGAAGCUCAAUAUACACAGAAGAAUUGAGAGGGGCUGAGCAGCUGAAGGGGCGGAACACGCUGGUUAUGACCUACGUUCCCUAAUCUUCCACCCUUUUGUGUCGGUUUAUAUCGCUGUGCCUGGAACUCUGCAAACCAGAUUUCUCUUCUGCCAGCUCGCCCUGUUAGGAUCUUCUCACAGAGGCUCUAUAGGGCAGCCAGAAGGCUGGAGAGGCGAGGGAUUUCUUCCUUCCUGUUUGCUUUCUGGAACAGUCAUUAGCUAAAAAAGAGCUUCGGUAAACCGUGCUAGCUCACGGUGAUUACGGCACCCGUUAAAAAAACAUCCGUUUUCCCAGUUAGAGACCCUGUCCUCAGAAAGUAUUCCCUCCUCUGGAACUUGUCCAGGAGAAAUCCCCAUCAGCUGAUGAUGUCAGCGCCAGCCUAGCAACCAUUCUUCCUGUGACAUCAAUACUUGACUUCAGCAGCAAUGGUGACUGCAGUUUGUAGCUCUUUCCUACACUCCCCCUUGAUGUGCCCAAUGAUGUCCUUAGAGAAAACCACCGCCAGCCAGCUGACACCUCCUGAGAGGUCCCGGGCUCUGUGCCGCUGUAGACCUCCUCAGAGCUGCGACCACACCAGCACCAGCCAGCCAGUGCCCCGUCCACCAGGGUCUGGCUUCCAGCUCCCCGCGCGUCUCUCCUUGGAGCAAAAACUCCACAUUAUCCCAACGACUUUUCCCUCCCAGCCCUGGGAGAGGCAGUGGCUUGCUGCAGUUUCUGUCCAGGAAAAUUGCAGUGUUCCCUUUCAACUUUUCCGUCUCUCAAUCAUUGGUUAACGAUUCCAUAUGCUAAAUUCUCUCUCUUAGAAUAACUAUGGUUGUUUCUAUUUUUUCUACUCAGGUCCUAACUGUUACUUACACCACUGGCUUUUCGGACAUCCUCACACACUCUUUUAGGAGAUUAAGCCCUCCCCCCAGCUGAAAAAUCACUGCUAUAAUUGGGGUGCUCACAUGUCCCAGUGUCCCUGAAACAAUACUGGUUCGUGCGUGUUGUCUUAGCAUAAUUAGUAAUAGCGUCCUGAAAUACAAAGUUCCCUUGGAUCAUGGGAGCCACUGUUAUUCACAGGAAUGUUGGCUAUCCCUCAAGUAUAUUGUGGGGCAAGAAAAUAAGAACCACUGCUAUAAAGGUAUAGUCAUCAAAACAGUAUGCUACUGACAUAAAAACGGACUCAUAGACCAAUGGAACAGAACUGAGAGUCCAGGAAUAAUUUCAUGUGUGAACAGUCAAAUAUUUGACAGGGGAGUCAAGAACACUCAAUGGGGAGAGGAUAGUCUCUUCCAUAAGUGGCCUUGGGAAAACUAGAUAUUCACAUGCAAAAGAAUGAAAUUGGACUCCUGUCUUAUGCCAGUCAAAGAAAUUAACUUGAAAUGCAUUAAAGACUUAAAUGUAAGACCUGAAAACUUAAAAGCUUCUCGACAUUCGUCUUGGCCACAAUUUCUUGGCUAUGAUACCAAAAGAAACAAAAGCAAAAACAGGGGGCGCCUGGGUGGCUCAGUGGGUUAGGCCUCUGCCUUCUGC
Molecule: long non-coding RNA, 3151 nt
Organism: Mustela erminea (ermine)
Lineage: Eukaryota; Metazoa; Chordata; Mammalia; Carnivora; Mustelidae
Exons: 4
Source: RefSeq, a predicted model, not a curated record